AAGCUAAACGCGAAUGGAGCAUGGUGGGUGGUCACCGAAUAUUUUGACGAACACAACCAUGAACUCAUAAAGAAGUUUGAUCUCGUAAAAUUUCUGAGCGCCCACAGAGGAUUCACCCCCCUCAAGAAGAAAUUCAUAAAGCUGCUACAUGAUUGUAACGUCGGUCCAUCAAGAAUGGUCCAGAUACUGUCCAUGAUCCACAGCAAAAAUGGAACUCUAAGUAGCAUGCCCUACAUACCAGCAGACGUCACAAACCUAAAGGAAAAGUACCGUAGAGAGACCAGGUUGGCUGACAUAGAAGACAUGAUAGCCUACUUCAAAGAGAAAGCAAAAGCAGAUGCUGAUUUCUUCUAUAGGAUAACAUUGGACGAUGAGGACCAUGUCAGAAACAUGUAUUGGGUGGAUGGUGCUGCAAGAAGAGCCUACAAAAAUUUCCGUGAUUGCAUUUCAUUCGACGCGACAUAUCUCACUAAUAUGUACAAGAUGUCCUGCGCUCGAUUCAUAGGAAUAAAUAACCACAAUACGGAUGGUUACACUUGGCUGUUCAAAACCUUCUUGGAGUGCAUGGGUGGACUUGCUCCGAUGAACAUAAUAACAUACCAGGAUUUUAGCAUGCGUACAGGCAUAGAGGAGGUCUUUCCGUUGGUAGUGCACAGGCACUGCAGGUGGCAUAUUAUUAAGAAGGCUGAGGAGACGCUAGGACCAUUCUUUGCUACUACUCAGCGCAGCGAGGGGUUCAAUGUUGUUUUGAAGCGGUACGACGGGAUUGUGUGCUGUCACAUACUGAAAGUAAUGGAAAUGGUCGCGGUAACACGAUUGCCCCGCCAUUUCAUAUGGCGGCGAUGGACUUGGGACGCUGACGACGCGUUGGGGCCACAAACAUCAAAUGCAGUUUUGGCUGUGCAUGAUGAGAGACCAGAGGCAACCAUGGACGCCGUGAGGCACGUUGUGUUGACCAAGAACUAUGCGGAACUAAUAGAUGAAGCAUGCUAG
Molecule: ribosomal RNA, 993 nt
Filed under: Triticum aestivum (bread wheat)
Lineage: Eukaryota; Viridiplantae; Streptophyta; Magnoliopsida; Poales; Poaceae
Description: partial small subunit ribosomal RNA
Source: RNAcentral